RNAcentral lists this non-coding RNA (23 nucleotides) under Gallus gallus (chicken). Lineage: Eukaryota; Metazoa; Chordata; Aves; Galliformes; Phasianidae. The record is from RNAcentral.
UGUGCAAAUCUAUGCGAAACUGA